RNAcentral lists this long non-coding RNA (2263 nucleotides) under Sarcophilus harrisii (Tasmanian devil). RNAcentral's name for it is "lncRNA (ENSSHAG00000029121.1)". Lineage: Eukaryota; Metazoa; Chordata; Mammalia; Dasyuromorphia; Dasyuridae. The record is from RNAcentral.
AGCCCUGGCCCAUCAUGUAGCUGCAGCACAGCCUUCCCUACCAUUGCAAUUGGAAAAAAUCACUUUCCAAUCUGUUUUGCAAGGUGUGCAUUUCCACUUUGAUUUCCUGAAAGAUCAUCUGCUGCAUCGAUCAAGAAAAACUUCACUUGCAUGAAGGCUGCGCGUCUGCAGCUUGAAUCUUUAUUGCAAAACUAGCUACAGAAGAGAGGCAAGGCAAAGUCUUUUGUGCUCCCCUCCCCCAUCAAAGGAAAGGGGAAAAUGUCUCAGUCAAAAGGCAGGAAACGGAAUCCUGGGCUGAAGAUUCCAAAAGAAGCAUUUGAACAGCCUCAGACCAGUUCAGCACCUCCUCGGGAUUUAGAUUCCAAGGCUUGCAUCUCAAUUGGCGAUAAGAAUUUUGAAGUGAAAGCUGAUGACUUGGAGCCUAUAGCAGAACUAGGACGAGGUGCAUAUGGGGUGGUGGAGAAGAUGCGACACAUGCCUAGUGGGCAGAUCAUGGCAGUGAAGCGAAUCCGAGCAACUGUGAAUAGCCAGGAACAGAAGAGGCUACUCAUGGACCUGGAUAUCUCCAUGAGAACAGUGGAUUGCCCCUUCACAGUCACCUUUUAUGGUGCACUCUUUCGGGAGGGUGAUGUGUGGAUCUGUAUGGAACUCAUGGAUACCUCACUGGACAAGUUCUACAAACAAGUCAUCGAUAAGGGCCUAACGAUCCCAGAGGACAUCUUAGGAAAAAUUGCAGUUUCUAUUGUAAAAGCCUUAGAACAUUUACACAGUAAACUUUCUGUCAUUCAUCGAGAUGUCAAGCCAUCUAAUGUGUUGAUCAAUACACUGGGCCAAGUGAAGAUGUGUGAUUUUGGUAUUAGUGGUUAUCUUGUGGAUUCUGUGGCCAAAACUAUGGAUGCAGGAUGCAAGCCUUACAUGGCUCCUGAAAGAAUAAACCCAGAACUAAACCAGAAGGGAUACAAUGUGAAAUCUGAUAUUUGGAGCCUGGGCAUCACAAUGAUUGAACUGGCAAUCCUUCGGUUCCCCUAUGAUUCCUGGGGGACACCAUUUCAGCAACUCAAACAGGUAGUGGAAGAACCAUCACCUCAAUUACCAGCAGACAAGUUCUCAGCAGAGUUUGUUGACUUUACCUCACAGUGCUUGAAGAAGAAUUCCAAAGAACGGCCAACAUACGCAGAACUUAUGCAACAUCAGUUUUUCACUCUGCAUGAAUCCAAAGCAACAGAUGCAGCAUCUUUUGUAAAACUGAUUCUUGGAGACUAAAAACCAUUGGACUCAAUCACUUGGCCCUCCUGUGGAUUGGUGGGUUUAGGGGAUGGAGCUUCUUCACUAAAGCAUCAAUAGAAACUUGGCAUUCAGAUGAUGCUGAUGCUUAUUUUUUUAACCUUGCCUCUCAAAAGGUUGUUUGUUUAUUUUGUUGUUGUUGUUGUUUAUUUUUUUUCCCAAAGGGGUCUUGGAAUCCAUAGUGUAUAGAAUGAACUGUUUAGUCAGAUGAAAUAUAAUAAGGCUCAGACUUUACAACUUUGAACAGGUGAUUAAAUAUUUAAUGACAUGUCACAAGACUCCUUAACCUUUUAAGCCUUUUCCUGUUCCUCUCCAAGGAGAAUACAUUUGUCUGGGUUAAUAGGUGCUAUGGUAGUUAUGAAGUCCUAUGUAGAUUUAUAUUUUGUUCUUCCUAUUGUUUUAAUAUUUAUGCUUGAUUUGAAUAGAUUUUGUUUUAUAUGAGGGAGACCUUAUGAAAGAGGAGGCUAUGAUGUCAAUAUUCAUAAGGCUUUACAAGGGAAAAAGUUAAAGAACCUUUGGUCUCUAAAAGGAACAAUUUAAUAUGCAUCCUUAAGAACUUCAAUAACAACAUUUUCUUCCCAAGAGCCUAUUCCAACUGCUGCUGCUGCUGCUACCAUCUUCCCAAACACCUUAUUCAAUACUGGGUAUUCAUUAACUAUUCUGUGUGAUAUGGUAAAGUAUCCCAGUACUACCUUGUCCAGUUUUGGAAGAAGUAAAAUCAAUUUAUCGUGGCUCAAAGUGGAGACAUAGCUUGCUUCUCGUGGCAUUUAUGACACUUUUAACUUGAGUGUGAUAUAUAUCUACCCUCCUACAGAAGGAGGGCAUAUGUGUAUGUGUCUGUAUGUGUAUGUAUGUGUGUGUAUAUUUGUUUUUGGUAGGCAGUGAGCCUUGCCAAGUAUCUUCUAUUUAUAUUAUUCUGUGUUCAGUAAGAAUGAUUGCUUAUCAGUGUUGUCUUGGGAGCUGGAGAGGGAUGUUAUAU